Molecule: small nuclear RNA, 204 nt
Filed under: Mus musculus (house mouse)
Lineage: Eukaryota; Metazoa; Chordata; Mammalia; Rodentia; Muridae
Description: U2 spliceosomal RNA
Rfam family: U2 spliceosomal RNA
About the family: U2 is a small nuclear RNA (snRNA) component of the spliceosome (involved in pre-mRNA splicing). Complementary binding between U2 snRNA (in an area lying towards the 5' end but 3' to hairpin I) and the branchpoint sequence (BPS) of the intron results the bulging out of an unpaired adenosine, on the BPS, which initiates a nucleophilic attack at the intronic 5' splice site, thus starting the first of two transesterification reactions that mediate splicing.
Source: Rfam by way of RNAcentral
AUUGCUUCUCGGCCUUUUGGCUAAGAUCAAGUGUAGGGACUGAGGGUUUUUUUUUUAAAUAAGAUUUAUUACUUAUUUUAUGUAUGUGAGUACACUGUAGCUGUACAGAUUGUUGUGAGCCUUCAUGUGGUUGUUGGGAAUUCAGCCCCACUUGCUCUGGUCAACUCUGCUCACUCAGUCCCUGCUAGCCCUGGCCUAAUGACU